RNAcentral lists this ribosomal RNA (121 nucleotides) under uncultured bacterium. RNAcentral's name for it is "partial 16S ribosomal RNA". It matches the Rfam family "Bacterial small subunit ribosomal RNA", at positions 628 to 748 of the family's 1533-position model. The record is from RNAcentral.
UGAAACUGGGAUUCUUGAGGGCAGGAGAGGAAAGUGGAAUUCCUGGUGUAGCGGUGAAAUGCGUAGAAAUCAGGAGGAACACCGGUGGCGAAGGCGACUUCCUGGACUGCCCCUGACGCUG